AUUUUGAAAAUCAGGAAUGGGCUAAAUGCCAAUCAAAAUAAAGCAAGUCUUUGGUCCAGACCAGGUAAUACAAAAUAAG
Molecule: non-coding RNA, 79 nt
Organism: Danio rerio (zebrafish)
Lineage: Eukaryota; Metazoa; Chordata; Actinopteri; Cypriniformes; Danionidae
Source: RefSeq, marked provisional